RNAcentral lists this ribosomal RNA (253 nucleotides) under uncultured bacterium. RNAcentral describes it as "partial 16S ribosomal RNA". It matches the Rfam family "Bacterial small subunit ribosomal RNA", at positions 524 to 776 of the family's 1533-position model. The record is from RNAcentral.
UACAGAGGGUGCGAGCGUUGUUCGGAAUUAUUGGGCGUAAAGGGCGCGUAGGCGGUGCGGUAAGUCACCUGUGAAAUCUCCUGGCUCAACUGGGAGCUUGCAGGCGAAACUGCCGUGCUGGAGUGUGGGAGAGGUGCGUGGAAUUCCUGGUGUAGCGGUGAAAUGCGUAGAUAUCAGGAGGAACACCAAUGGCGAAGGCAGCUCGCUGGGACGGUACUGACGCUGAGACGCGAAAGCGUGGGGAGCAAACAGG